Molecule: ribosomal RNA, 253 nt
Filed under: uncultured bacterium
Lineage: Bacteria
Description: partial 16S ribosomal RNA
Rfam family: Bacterial small subunit ribosomal RNA
Source: RNAcentral
UACGUAGGGUGCGAGCGUUAUUCGGAAUUACUGGGCGUAAAGCGUGCGCAGGCGGUUUUUUAGGCCAGAUGUGAAAUCCCCGGGCUUAACCUUGGUACUGCCUUUGGAACUGGAAGACUAGAGUACGGCAGAGGGGGGUAGAAUUCCACGUGUAGCAGUGAAAUGCGUAGAUAUGUGGAGGAAUACCGAUGGCGAAGGCAGCCCCCUGGGUCGAUACUGACGCUCAUGCACGAAAGCGUGGGGAGCAAACAGG